UACGUAGGGUGCGAGCGUUAAUCGGAUUUACUGGGCGUAAAGCGUGCGCAGGCGGCCCGUUAAGACAGGUGUGAAAUCCCUGGGCUCAACCUAGGAAUUGCGCUUGUGACUGGCGGGCUCGAGUACGGUAGAGGGGGGUGGAAUUCCUGGUGUAGCAGUGAAAUGCGUAGAGAUCAGGAGGAACACCGAUGGCGAAGGCAGCCCCCUGGGCCUGUACUGACGCUCAUGCACGAAAGCGUAGGGAGCAAACAGG
This 253-nucleotide ribosomal RNA is filed under the name uncultured microorganism. RNAcentral describes it as "partial 16S ribosomal RNA". It matches the Rfam family "Bacterial small subunit ribosomal RNA", at positions 524 to 776 of the family's 1533-position model. The record is from RNAcentral.